GCAAAGAAAUCAUUUAACUGGUCUAUAGGACCCAGCCAGAUCAUCAGGACAUCAUCGAUGUACCUUUUCCAGAGCACCAAGUCUGCACCAAAUGGGUUUGCACCAAACCAAAAUUAUCAGUGCUCUUAAUAGUUAGCUCUUUCCUUUUGCCUAAAUUCAUCAGAGUACUACUCUCUGUCGGGGUGAGAUUUUUAUGUUUACUUCUUCUAUCCUGAUUCCUUUCGAGUUUGUCGAAG
Non-coding RNA from Pelobates cultripes (western spadefoot toad), 236 nucleotides. NCBI's taxonomy places the organism in Eukaryota, Metazoa, Chordata, Amphibia, Anura, Pelobatidae. The record is from the annotation of a GenBank genome assembly.